RNAcentral lists this small nuclear RNA (101 nucleotides) under Meriones unguiculatus (Mongolian gerbil). Lineage: Eukaryota; Metazoa; Chordata; Mammalia; Rodentia; Muridae. The record is from RNAcentral.
UACUGCUUCUGCAGCCGUGUAUUGAAGCUGGUACAAUGCAGAGAUUACCACAGCCCCUGCACAACGAUGACACACAAGUCCUUAGAGCAUUCCAUUUUUUA